Molecule: long non-coding RNA, 1671 nt
Organism: Erinaceus europaeus (western European hedgehog)
Lineage: Eukaryota; Metazoa; Chordata; Mammalia; Eulipotyphla; Erinaceidae
Exons: 3
Source: RefSeq, a predicted model, not a curated record
GAACAGUGCAGUCCAGGUCUUCCCUCAGCAGUUGGUGUCUCUUGGUGAUCUUCAGUGUUCGUCGGUCGAGGAAGGGAAGCCUCAUUCUGUGCUCUACCUUCAACUCCACAGGCUCAAGUGCCAGCCCUCAGUGCCUUAGGCUGAUUCUGGAGUCAGGAAAUCAUGACUCAUGGCCAGACUGACUUGGAUGACCUUCACAGUGACUACUCAAGAAGGGACUUGGUCUUACAAGUGUUUCAGGCCAUUCUGGGGGGAGAGGAACAGAACUGGCCCAUCGCCUUGAAAUCCUCAGAAUCUGGAGAAGGGCUUAUGGAAGUGAAUGUCUCGGGAGAUUUGAGACAAGAGAGAUGACCUGAGGCUUCGGGGCCCCAAGACAGGUGGCACCGCCUCUGAUGACACUGACUGGAGGGAAGAUAGUAUGGGGCCUGCCCUGAAGUUGGUCCUGCUGGCCCUCAGGGAGCCCCACUGAGUUCUGGGAGAAGCUGUGAGCCCUGGUUUCAACUCAUGUUCUCCUGAACUCUCGUGGUGCAUUUUGAUGGAAACAUCGCCAGGAGCAUGUGAGCAGACUUAGUUAAUUCCCCCUGAAACUGCUCCAGAAACUUGGCCAGGUAUGCUGCUGGAGCCCUGCCCAGUGGAGUCCCCAGUCCCAAAGGGGGUCAGUGAGCUCUACUCUCACCCACCCCAGGAAAGAGGCAUUGGGGGGGGGGAGGGGAACGCCUCCGCCAGAUCUAGCAGUUACAGUAGUUACAGCUUGGAUGCUCCUGCCUCCAGACGCAGCUGGAAGGAGGCCUGCUGCUGGGUCUCCAGGAAGAGUUCCAGGUCCAUCUGCCCAGUUUUCCUCCCCUGAAGCCCCUUCACAAAACCCAGAGGAAAGCUACCUGCUGUCAACCCAGCAAAUGGCCAACAGGCUCACAACAUCUGGACACAGCCUCUGAGGACACGGGGUCCCGCCACCCCGGCAGGCUAGUGCUGGCCUGCAUACAGAAUGAAGGACAGAGUUCAAGAGGGACUGAGUCCAACAGGGGCCGUCUGUGACUUGCAGCCCAGCAGAGACCAUGCAUCUAUCCUCAGCUUCCAUGAGGCCCGACAGCAAACGCCUCUAAGUCACUCAAAGGCCCUCACCUAGCAGCGACUGAACCCAAGUAAUUGCAACUGAUAAGAGAACAUCUUCACAGAAAAGCAGUCUUGCCUGUAGCUACCUUACUUGGAAACAGUCUCCUCACAGUGCUGGGACAGAAAACCACUCCUAGCCCACCACAGCCAGUGGAGUAGCUCUCGGCCCAGCACAUACUUAGCUGGGGGACUUAGCAGCAUGAACAAAUCCUCCCACCUUUCAUUAUUAAAAUAAAAAAAAUGGGUCAGGUGGUGGGGCAUCCAGCUGCACAAUUACCGUGUGCAUGGACAUGGGCUGAGACCCACUCCCUACCUGCAGGGAGGACACUUCAUGAGCAAUGAAGCAGGUCUGCGGGUGUCUAUCUUUCUCCCUCUCUAUUUCCCCCUCCUCUCCCAACUCCUCUCUGUUCUCAAAUGAAAAUAAGAAAGAAAAAAAAAAUGGGGGGAGGUGGGUGGGUAAUAGGCACCAGGAACAAUGGAUUUGUAGUGAGUGCCAGCACCAAGCCCCAGUGCUAGCCUUGGUGGCAAUAAAAGAAAUAAUUAUUUCAAAAAUAAAAU